Molecule: unclassified non-coding RNA, 219 nt
Filed under: Hevea brasiliensis (rubber tree)
Lineage: Eukaryota; Viridiplantae; Streptophyta; Magnoliopsida; Malpighiales; Euphorbiaceae
Source: RNAcentral
AGGUACGCCUCUUCUUUUCAAGCUUAAACCCAUUUCUUUAUGGUUUUAAAAUGGCUCGUAAGAUUGAAAAAGUUACAAGUAAAUUAGAUGUGAGUGCUGCAAAUAAGAAAUUUCACUUAGAUAAGCUCCCUGAGAAGACAUUUCCUAUGACUGGGGAAAGAGAGAAAACUCACUCUUCUUUACCUGAAAGAGUCUUUGGUAGAGAAGAUGAUAAGAAGA